Molecule: ribosomal RNA, 253 nt
Filed under: uncultured bacterium
Lineage: Bacteria
Description: partial 16S ribosomal RNA
Rfam family: Bacterial small subunit ribosomal RNA
Source: RNAcentral
UACGAAGGGGGCUAGCGUUGCUCGGAAUGACUGGGCGUAAAGGGCGCGUAGGCGGAUGGCACAGUCAGAUGUGAAAUUCCCAGGCUUAACCUGGGGGCUGCAUUUGAUACGUGUUGUCUUGAGUUCGGAAGAGGGUCGUGGAAUUCCCAGUGUAGAGGUGAAAUUCGUAGAUAUUGGGAAGAACACCGGUGGCGAAGGCGGCGACCUGGUCCGACACUGACGCUGAGGCGCGAAAGCGUGGGGAGCAAACAGG